AUGGAGGAGGAAAGCAUCGCGUGUGUCCCCUGGGGAGCCUGGCUGAAGAGAGAGGUGGUGUGUGGACCAUGCCCGACUCAUUCCUCCCAAAUUUGCCAGAGAAGUGACCCCUCCGCCACAGAAGGAUCAAGUCAAAAGACAAAUCUGAAUCUGAUUAAAUCUCCAGGUCUAACUACCAAUUCGCCAGCAAUACCUGAGGCAGGAAAACAUCUCUAAAGAUAACAGAGCAACUCAUGCAUACUGUGGGAUGUUCUACAAGAUAAAUGACCCAAGUUCCACAGCCAAUAAAUUUCAAAGAAAAAUAAAAAGUGAUGGAAGGAAAAUAAUAUAGAUUAAAAGACAUCUGAGAAACCUAUAAACUAAUAUUAAUGAUUGGGUUUUAUUUGGGUUCUGAUUCCAAAAACAAGUUGAAAGAAAUUAUGUGAUAACUUGGAAAAUUUGAAUGUUAAUUGAAUAUUCAAUAAUAUCAAUGAAAUAAGUUUUGAGCAUCAUAAUGGCAUUGUGCUUUUUGUUUCAAGUGUCUUUAAUUCCCAUACAGUUGAAGGUACUAUAGUCAAAACAUGGUAGAGGUGAAUCAGAAUGUUCCUGCUUAACAA
Molecule: long non-coding RNA, 596 nt
Filed under: Ovis aries (sheep)
Lineage: Eukaryota; Metazoa; Chordata; Mammalia; Artiodactyla; Bovidae
Description: lncRNA (ENSOARG00000026826.1)
Source: RNAcentral